Molecule: long non-coding RNA, 768 nt
Organism: Acipenser ruthenus (sterlet)
Lineage: Eukaryota; Metazoa; Chordata; Actinopteri; Acipenseriformes; Acipenseridae
Exons: 3
Source: RefSeq, a predicted model, not a curated record
CUGCACAAUCAGCAACAUUCAGCACUGAGGUCAGCCAUUGAACGUUGGCAGAGAAGCAAGAAGGAGGCAAUACUGCAGCUCCUCAUGUCUAACAGGAGAGAUAUGAGAAGCCAACUUGGGAGGAGUGAAUCCAUGGGCAGAUUGGACAACUUCAGAGGACACUGUCCAGCUGUACCUGCUGAGACACACAAGGCAUCGUCUCGGAUUUCACCAGCGUCCAUGAAGCGUGCCGGAUGGAGGCGUGUGGACUCAGACACAGCUGUUCUUGCGCACACUUACCUACAGAAACGAAAACCCGGGAUUGAAGUGAACCCGGGAGCAAUGAAGACAUGUUUUAAAACAAGUGUUCAAAAAGCGGGGUGGGGCGGGGCGGUGAAUUUUUUAAUGUGAAUGUGUGUGUAUAUAUAGUAGUGUCGCAGGUAAAUAACGGUACAAGGGUGCUGUAUUCAGGGCUACAUGUAUUUCUUAUUGCACUUUUAUUAAUAGUAAAAAUAGGUCAAACACAAACAAAUAAACAAUAUAACAGGGCAGCAGUGUGUAGUGGUUAGGGCUCUGGACUCUUGACCGGAGGGUCGUGGGUUCAAUCCCAGGUGGGGGACACUGCUGCUGUACCCUUGAGCAAGGUACUUUACCUAGAUUGCUCCAGUAAAAACCCAACUGUAUAAAUGGGGAAUUGUAUGUAAAAAUAAUGUGUAAAAAAUAAUGUAAAUUGUAUGUAAAAAUAAUGUGAUAACUUGUAACAAUUGUAAGUCGCCCUGGAUAAGGGCA